GGCUCCAUAGUGUAGUGGAUAGUAUGUCUGCUUUACAUGCAGAAGGUCCUGAGUUUGAGCCUCAGGUGGAGCCA
RNAcentral lists this transfer RNA (74 nucleotides) under Pteropus alecto (black flying fox). It matches the Rfam family "tRNA". From Rfam's summary of the family: Transfer RNA (tRNA) molecules are approximately 80 nucleotides in length. The record is from Rfam by way of RNAcentral. Lineage: Eukaryota; Metazoa; Chordata; Mammalia; Chiroptera; Pteropodidae.